CAAGUCGAACGCGAAAGGUUCCUUCGGGAACCGAGUAGAGUGGCGUCCGGGUGAGUAACACGUAGGUAAUCUACCUCUGGGUGGGGAAUAACGACCGGAAACGGUCGCUAAUACCGCAUAAUGCAGCGGCACCACAUGGUGACAGUUGUUAAAGCGGGGGAUCGCAAGACCUCGCGCCUAGAGAGGAGCCUGCGGCGGAUUAGCUAGUUGGUAGGGUAAUGGCCUACCAAGGCAACGAUCCGUAGCCGGCCUGAGAGGGCGGUCGGCCACACUGGCACUGACAUACGGGCCAGACUCCUACGGGAGGCAGCAGUCGGGAAUUUUGGGCAAUGGGCGAAAGCCUGACCCAGCAACGCCGCGUGAAGGAUGAAGCUUUUCGGAGUGUAAACUUCAUAAGAAUGGGACGAAUAAAGAUGAGCUAAUAUCUCAUCCUAUGACGGUACCAUUUGUAAGCUCCGGCUAACUCCGUGCCAGCAGCCGCGGUAAUACGGGGGGAGCAAGCGUUGUUCGGAUUUACUGGGCGUAAAGGGCGCGUAGGCGGCGCAACAAGUCACUUGUGAAAUCUCCGGGCUUAACCCGGAGCGGCCAAGUGAUACUGUCGUGCUAGAGUGCGGAAGGGGCUACUGGAAUUCUCGGUGUAGCGGUGAAAUGCGUAGAUAUCGAGAGGAACACCUGCGGCGAAGGCGGGGUAGCUGGGCCGACACUGACGCUGAGGCGCGAAAGCCAGGGGAGCGAACGGGAUUAGAUACCCCGGUAGUCCUGGCCUUAAACGAUGGAUGCUUGGUGUCCGGGGUUACAUAGUCCCCGGGGUGCCGGCGCUAACGCAUUUAAGCAUCCCGCCUGGGGAAUUACGGUC
This 856-nucleotide ribosomal RNA is filed under the name uncultured Bacillota bacterium. RNAcentral describes it as "bacterial SSU rRNA". It matches the Rfam family "Bacterial small subunit ribosomal RNA", at positions 58 to 887 of the family's 1533-position model. The record is from RNAcentral. Lineage: Bacteria; Bacillati; Bacillota.